GACGAACGCUGGCGGCGUGCUUAACACAUGCAAGUCGAACGGAAAGGCCCUGCUUUUGUGGGGUGCUCGAGUGGCGAACGGGUGAGUAACACGUGAGUAACCUGCCCUUGACUUUGGGAUAACUUCAGGAAACUGGGGCUAAUACCGGAUAGGAGCUCCUGCUGCAUGGUGGGGGUUGGAAAGUUUCGGCGGUUGGGGAUGGACUCGCGGCUUAUCAGCUUGUUGGUGGGGUAGUGGCUUACCAAGGCUUUGACGGGUAGCCGGCCUGAGAGGGUGACCGGCGACAUUGGGACUGAGAUAGGGCCCAGACUCCUACGGGAGGCAGCAGUGGGGAAUAUUGCACAAUGGGCGGAAGCCUGAUGCAGAAACGCUGCGUGCGGGAUGCCGGCCUUCGGGUUGUAAACCGCUUUCGACUGUGACGAAGCGUGAGUGACGGUAAUGGGUAAAGAAGCACCGGCUAACUACGUG
This 468-nucleotide ribosomal RNA is filed under the name uncultured bacterium. RNAcentral describes it as "partial 16S ribosomal RNA". It matches the Rfam family "Bacterial small subunit ribosomal RNA", at positions 28 to 507 of the family's 1533-position model. The record is from RNAcentral.